This 253-nucleotide ribosomal RNA is filed under the name uncultured bacterium. RNAcentral's name for it is "partial 16S ribosomal RNA". It matches the Rfam family "Bacterial small subunit ribosomal RNA", at positions 524 to 776 of the family's 1533-position model. The record is from RNAcentral.
UACGAAGGGUGCAAACGUUGCUCGGAAUUAUUGGGCGUAAAGCGCACGUAGGCGGCUUGGCAAGUCGGAUGUGAAAUCCCUCGGCUCAACCAAGGAAGUGCAUCCGAAACUGCCGAGCUUGAGUACUUAAGAGGAUCGCGGAAUUCCCGGUGUAGAGGUGAAAUUCGUAGAUAUUAGGAAGAACACCGGUGGCGAAGGCGGCUAUCUGGCCCGUAAUUGACGCUGAGGCGCGAAAGCGUGGGGAGCAAACAGG